UGAAUUGGUAGGUGAUAUGUAUUUAAAUUGUUUAUUAAGGUGUUGGCGAAAUGGUUAAAAAUGUGCACAUGAAAGUAUAAUAGGUCAAAUGAAUUUUAUGUUUCUAUAUGUAUGAUUUAGUUGAUGGUGUGAUAUUUUAGCAUACUUGGAUAUUGAUGUUUGUGUGUCUCGUGUUAAUAUGAUAAUCGGCCAUAAGCAUGAUUAAAUGGUUCGGUCAUUGUUUGGCAUAGGUGAAACCUAUAUGAAUUUGUUACAUUCGGUCAUAAAAUGGAAUUAAAUAUGAAGGCUAAGUUUGAGUAGUUAAGGCCGAAUGGGUUAUAGAUUAAACAUAAACGGAUUUUAUGCAUAUGAGUAUGUAUGUAUUUGCGUGCACGGCAUUGAUGAUAAAUGGCAAUUGGUAAUGUGGUAAUGUUUAAUAAGUUGACAUUCGGAGUUAGCUAUAUGUCUUGGAGCCAUAGUGUAAUUUGAAAUAAUAAAAGUAUAUGAUAUUAAAGCAUGCAUUAUAUAUAUGCAUGUGUAUACGCGGUUGUGCAUAAAUAUGAGUAAAUGAUUAAAUUGUGAUAGUCAUAUAUAAGUAUAUAUAUGCCUUAUGUAUGUACCUUGUGCUUAUAGAGACAUUCAGGAAUAUGGUUAAAUUCAUGUAUAAGGAAGCAUGAUAAGCUAUGUGAAUCUUUGCUUGGUAUGUGAAUUAGAUAUAGAUUGUAUAAGCAUGAAAUCAAGUCAUGGCAUAUUUUAUAAAAUAUAAUACAUAUUGAAGUUAUAUAUGAUUGUCAAAUGUGACCAUUAAGAAAUAAAGUUGAGUAAGUUAUUAAACAAAUAUAUUUGUUUUAAUGAAGCUCAAGAGCAAAGAGGAUCAAAAUCAGAUAAGGGAAAAGAGAAAGUAAUAGAGUAGCCGUUCUGCAACCGUUCAAGUAUAUCCAAGGUAAGUUUUGAAUAGUCAUAUUUAGUACGUAAUUGAUAAUAUCUUGAUAUAUGUAUGAUAACUGUACUGAGAAAGAUGUUAAGUUUGAAUGGUCAAAAAAGUGCUAGAAAAGUUUCGACCAACUGAAAACCUAUUUGACUGAAGCUCUAGUGUUAGUGCAGCCUGAAUCCGGUAAAGAGUUUGUUAUUUACAGUGAUGCGUCCUUAAAUGGGCUUAGUUGUGUAUUGAUGUAAGAAGGUCGAGUUGUUGCUUAUGCUUCGAGGCAAUUGAAGACACAUGAGAAAAACUAUCCGACCCAUGAUCUCGAAUUAGCUACCAUUGUAUUUUCUUUGAAAAUAUGGCGACACUACUUGUUUGGAGAGAGGUGUCAUGUAUAUUCAGAUCACAAAAGCCUCAAAUAUUUGAUGACUCAAAGAGAUUUGAAUCUAAGACAAAGACGUUGGCUUGAAUUGUUGAAAGAUUAUGAGCUUGUCAUUGACUAUCACCCGGGAAAGGCUAACGUGGUUGCCGAUGCUUUAAGUCGCAAGUCACUGUUUGCUUUGCGAACAUUGAAUGUACACUUGUCCGUUUCAUCCGAUAAUGUGUUAGUAGCAAAAUUAAAAGCCAAACCGUUAUUGAUUCAUCAAAUAUGUGAAACUUAGAAAGUCAAUGAUGAAUUGAUUGCUAAACGAGCUGAAUGUAUUUCGAAUGUGGAUUCAGAAUUUCAAAUUGAUGACAAUGAUUGUUUGAGGUUCAAAAGUCGAUUGUGUGUUCCAAGAAAUUCGGAACUUAUUUUGAUAAUUUUGAGCGAGGAUCAUAAUAGCCAAAUGUCGGUUCAUCCUGGUAGCACGAAAAUGUACAAUGAUCUAAAACGUCAGUAUUGGUGGCAUGGUGUGAAACGUGAUAUAUCUGACUUUGUAUCGAAGUGUAUAAUUUGUCAACAAGUGAAAUCAGAACAUCAAGUGCCUUCAGGGUUACUUCAACCGAUCAUGAUACCUGAGUGGAAGUGGGAUCGAGUUACGAUGAAUUUUGUGUCUGGGUUACCUUUGUCACCGAGCAAGAAAGAUGCGAUAUGGGUUGUUGUGGAUGGAUUGACUAAAUCAGCUCAUUUCAUUCCCGUACGUACAGAUUUCUCACUUGAUAAGUUAGCCGAGUUGUAUGUCUCUCAGAUUGUCAGAUUACACGGGGUUCCUGUUUCUAUUGUGUUGGAUAGAGAUCUGAGAUUUACAUCGCGAUUUUGGAAGAAAUUGCAAGAAGCAUUGGGUACCAAGUUGCAUUUUAGCACCGCUUUUCAUCCCCAGACCGAUGGUCAAUCCAAGCAGAUAAUUCAGAUACUCGAGGAUAUGUUGAGAUGUUGCAUCCUUGAGUUUAGUGGUUCAUGGGAACGGUAUUUUCCUUUGAUUGAAUUCACUUACAACAAUAGUUUUCAAUCAAGCAUUAAGAUGGCACCUUACGAGGCUUUGUACGGUCGUAAAUGCCGUACACCAUUGUUUUGGACCGAACUCAGUGAAAGUAAAAUCUUCGGGGUUGAUUUGAUUAAAGAUGCUGAACAGAAAGUAAAAGUGAUCUGUGAAAGUCUAAAAGCAGCUUCAGAUCGUCAAAAGUCAUAUGCGGAUUUAAAAUGAAAAGACAUUGAGUAUCAGGUCGGAGACAAAGUAUAUCUUAAAGUUUCACCUUGGAAAAAGGUGCUCAGAUUUGGUCGUAAGGGAAAAUUGAGUCCGAGGUUCAUCGGGCCGUAUGAGAUAUUCAAACGAAUUGGGCCGGUAGCAUACAGAUUGAUUUUGCCCCCUGAACUUGAAAAGUUUCACAAUUUUUUUCAUGUUUCGAUGUUUCGACGUUAUAUAUCUGAUCCAUCACAUGUUAUUAGUCCAUCAGAGGUUGAGAUUCGAUCUGAUUUGAGUUACGAAGAAGAACUGGUUCGUAUUUUGGCUCGUGAAAUAAAGGAACUACGAAAUAAGAAAAUCUCAUUAGUGAAAGUACUCUGGCUCAAACACAGGGUUGAAGAAGCGACUUGGGAACCAAAAGACUCAAUGAAAGAACAUUAUCCUAACUUAUUCACCGGUAAGAAUUUUCAGGGACGAAAAUUUCUUUGGAGGGGAGAGUUGUGACUGCCCUAAUUUGACCCUAGUCGAAAAGUGGUAUCGGAACCACAAAACAUAGUCAUUAAAUAAUUAACCGUUAUAUUUUAUGCUUAUUAUAUGUGUAAAUGCAUGUGUGAAAGUUUCGUGCUUUGCUUUUGUCAAAUGUAUGUGAAAUUUAGUAAAUAGGAUUUAUGUGAGACACUUUGAAAUGUGAUAGGUUAAUUUAAAAUGGUCUACUAAUGCAUGAUAUAAAAAAAUGGACUUGCAUGUCAAAUUAUCCAUUUUUUUAUAGUGGCCGGCCAUGUUGUUGAUUAAUAUAUUAUAUAUAUUUUCCAUUAACAUUAUUUUCAACUAAAUAAAUUAAAGAAUGAAUAAAUGAAUAAAGGGUAAUAAAAUAAUGGGUUAGUGGGAGGAGAAACCAAAAUUUGGUUCAUCUUUGUUCCUCCAUUGCCGUAGCUAGAAGUGAGGAAGAAGAAAAUUCUUGUUAAAAUUUCGGCUAAGGAGAUUGCUAGAAUAAGGUAUGUACAAUGCCACUCUUGGAAAUUUAUGCAUAAUUUGGAUGGUUAAUUUGAAUUCUACCUAUUUCGUGGUUCGAAUUUUUGUUAUUUGGGAGGAUUGAAAUUCGGCCAAGGAGUUUGAAAUUCUUAGUAGAUGUUUUGAUGUCAUUAGUAUGUUUGAAGUGUUUUGAAAGAAAUUACUUGUGUAUUUUAGGAUAGUUUCUUAGUUCCUCCACAACCCAUGUGCAAAUUUUCAUUUUGGUAGCUAUGGGAUCAAUCAGCCAUGAGAGGAUUUUUCAUUUAGAAAUGAUACUUUGACGUUUUGUUUUGAAUUAAUAAAAGUACUCCAUUCAGUUGAAAUUAUAAAAGUAUGUUAUGUUUAAAAAAAUAAAAUUUUGUGUAUCUAAUUUGUAAUGGCCGAAUGGAUUAUAUAAAGUGAUUUGAGAUUUUGGAUGCCUUGUUUUGUGACAUUCGACUAUGAUAAAAGAAACGAUUGUAUCAGGGAUUUUAGAGAUGUGAAUUGGUAGGUGAUAUGUAUUUAAAUUGUUUAUUAAGGUGUUGGCUAUAUGGUUAAAAAUGUGCACAUGAAAGUAUAAUAGGUCAAAUGAAUUUUAUGUUUCUAUAUGUAUGAUUUAGUUGAUGGUGUGAUAUUUUAGCAUACUUGGAUAUUGAUGUUUGUGUGUCUCGUGUUAAUAUGAUAAUUGGCCAUAAGCAUGAUUAAAUGGUUCGGUCAUUGUUUGGCAUAGGUGAAACCUAUAUGAAUUUGUUACAUUCGGUC
RNAcentral lists this long non-coding RNA (4257 nucleotides) under Gossypium barbadense (sea-island cotton). RNAcentral describes it as "long non-coding RNA (GBAR_LNC007308)". The record is from RNAcentral. Lineage: Eukaryota; Viridiplantae; Streptophyta; Magnoliopsida; Malvales; Malvaceae.